UUAGAGGAAGUAAAAGUCGUAACAAGGUUUCCGUAGGUGAACCUGCGGAAGGAUCAUUCAUAAUAAGUGUUUUACUGCACUUUUUAAACAAGUACUCACCUUGUGUGCAAUGUUUUGCUGUCGUGUCGUUCACGCGUCGCGUCAGCUUAAUACCAACCUUUUAUUGAAACAAUUUUGUCUGAAGAUAUUUUGAAUAAAUAAUUCUAAAUACAACUUUCAACAACGGAUCUCUUGGCUCUCGCAUCGAUGAAGAACGCAGCGAAAUGCGAUACGUAAUGUGAAUUGCAGAAUUCAGUGAAUCAUCGAAUCUUUGAACGCACAUUGCACUCUCUGGUAUUCCGGAGAGUAUGCUUGUUUGAGUAUCUGUAAACAUCUCAAAUCUCUCAGCGCUUGCGCUAAAGAGAAUUGGAUUUGAGCGAUCCCGACUCCUUCGUCAGAAAGAGGAGGGUCGCUUGAAAUGCAGGUGCAGCUGGACAUUCUUCUGAGCUAAAAGCAUAUCUAUUUAGUCCCGUCAAACGGAUUAUUACUUUUGCUUCAGCUAAUAUAAAGGUCGAAUGAACUACCAACGCUGAUUGCAGGAAAACUCGUUCUUAACCGAACUUGUGAACUCGAUCUCAAAUCAAGUAAGACUACCCGCUGAACUUAAGCAUAUC
This 653-nucleotide ribosomal RNA is filed under the name zygomycete sp. Sib4-1-2. Its description in RNAcentral is "eukaryotic LSU rRNA". The stretch from base 212 to 365 matches the Rfam family "5.8S ribosomal RNA". The record is from RNAcentral. Lineage: Eukaryota; Fungi; Mucoromycota.